Long non-coding RNA from Perognathus longimembris pacificus (Pacific pocket mouse), 1359 nucleotides. RefSeq lists it as uncharacterized. The record is from RefSeq and is a predicted model, not a curated record. The transcript is spliced from 3 exons. Lineage: Eukaryota; Metazoa; Chordata; Mammalia; Rodentia; Heteromyidae.
AAAAGAGCAUAAUCUCACUGGAGAAUGAGUGAAUUAGGCUUUUAGUCCACUAAGUCGCUGAUACUAAAGGCAUUGCUUUGGGCAUAUGAUCCCUGAAAUUUAGAACUUUGAUUCUCUGUGCUUUGAUUGGAGACUAUUAAUUACCACUUAUCAUGAAACAGAUUGUCUUCUAGAAAAACAUGCUUUGGUUUACUUUUCCAAGAUCAUUAUCCAGUGAACAAAGUUACAUUGCAUUUGCUGUUUUUGCCAGGGAUCUCAUUGAAUCACCUGGCAGAAGAAUUCACCAAUCUAUGUCAUAAUCUUGUUAGGGAUUGUGGAAUCACAGCAGCACUGCCUCCUCUGUGACAUUAAUCCUUAGAACAAUUGCCAGUUGUUCAUUUCCAGGACCUGGGUAAGGCUGGCAGCAUAAUCACACAAUAGAAACUGCUUAGCCUACAAAAUAACAAGCUCCAAGAUUAGGAUCUAUUUGUAUUCAAUUAUCAGGUAUUUACAAAGCCUAUUUUCAGGUAGUCUAUGCUCCCAUAUCAUGCUAUGAAUAGCUAUCAAAGAGUAUACUAAUAACAUCAUGUUACCUGGGUCCUCUAAGUGCCAAACAAUCACAUAUGCUACAGCAAAAGCAAUCAAAAAUUGGCCUAACUUUCAAAAAACUAAACCUUGGACUAUUAAAAUGCCUCUAAGUACACUAACAAGAAACUUACUGUUAAUUUUUUUUUUUUGCAUACUGCAGAUUGAUUUUGAGGCCUUGUGUCUUGCCACUCAGGUACUCUAUUACUUGAGGCAUGCUUCCAACCCCUUUCAAUAUUGGUCAUUUUCAAAGUAGGUCUUACUUUACUCACUGACUGGCCUAGGAUGUGAUCUUCCUACUUAUGCUUUCCAACAUUAUUGGGAUCAAAAGUGCAUGCUACUGAAUUCAUCCACCAGUUGGUUGAGAUGAAGUCACAAGAUCACCUUUAUUGCCCGAAAUUGUUUCAAACAAAGAACCCUAGAUAUCUGCCUCCCAAAUAGCUAAGAUGACAUGAGUGAGCCAAUGUGUAGCUAAAGAAAAAUCUAUGUGUGUGCACGUGUGCACACGUGCACACGUGUAUGUGUGUGUGUGUGUGUGUGAAAAAGAGAGAGCACCAGUACUAAGAUUAGAACACCAGGCCUGUGCAUUGUCCCUUAGUUUUUCAUUCAAAUUAAUACUCUAAUAUUUAAGCCACAUCUCCAUGAAUGGCUUUUUAGUGGUUUAUUGGAGGUUAGAAUCUCCUGGACUCUCUUGUACAGGCUGGCUUUGAACCUUGAUCCUUGGAUCUCAGCUAGUAUUAAUAAACACAAGCCGCCCAUUAACAGCCCAGCAUUGACACAAUAAUUUUAGGUCAG